GACGGAGGGUGCUAGCGUUGUUCGGAAUGACUGGGCGUAAAGGGCGCGUAGGCGGCUCGUGAAGUCGGGUGUGAAAUCCCGGAGCUCAACUUCGGAACUGCCUUUGAUACAGCACGUCUUGAGUCCGAUAGAGGUGGGUGGAAUUCCUAGUGUAGAGGUGAAAUUCGUAGAUAUUAGGAAGAACACCGGUGGCGAAGGCGGCCUACUGGAUCGGUACUGACGCUGAGGUGCGAAAGCGUGGGGAGCAAACAGG
This 253-nucleotide ribosomal RNA is filed under the name uncultured bacterium. Its description in RNAcentral is "partial 16S ribosomal RNA". It matches the Rfam family "Bacterial small subunit ribosomal RNA", at positions 524 to 776 of the family's 1533-position model. The record is from RNAcentral.